This 440-nucleotide ribosomal RNA is filed under the name uncultured bacterium. Its description in RNAcentral is "bacterial SSU rRNA". It matches the Rfam family "Bacterial small subunit ribosomal RNA", at positions 338 to 795 of the family's 1533-position model. The record is from RNAcentral.
CCUACGGGAGGCAGCAGUGGGGAAUAUUGCACAAUGGGCGAAAGCCUGAUGCAGCGACGCCGCGUGAGCGAAGAAGGCCUUCGGGUCGUAAAGCUCUGUCCUAUGGGAAGAAAGAUGACGGUACAAUAGGAGGAAGCACCGGCUAACUACGUGCCAGCAGCCGCGGUAAUACGUAGGGGGCGGACGUUGUCCGGAAUGACUGGGCGUCAAGGGUACGUAGGCGGCUAGAUAAGUCAGAUGUGAAAGGCAUAGGCUUAACCAGUGUAAGACUUGGAAACUGUCUAGCUUGAGUCAAGGAGAGGAAAGUUACAUUCCUGGUUUAGAGGUGAAAUGCGUAGAUAUCAGGAGGAAUCCCAGUGGCGAAGGCGACUUUCUGGACUUAGACUGACGCUGAGCUACGAAAGCGUGGUGAGCAAACAAGAUUAUAUACCCCUUUAGUC